CCUCUCUCCUCUCCAGGGGACAGAACAACCUGGGAAGGUGAUGAGAAACAGAAGCGAAACUUCAUCAGGUGGUCAGCUGAAGAAACCUGAAGAGUCCUUUGAGGAACUGACUUGUUUUCAUCUUUUCAUUAAUGACAGUAAGACCUAAGUAACUGGUUUUGUUUCCUUUUUUCUC
This 175-nucleotide long non-coding RNA is filed under the name Capra hircus (goat). Its description in RNAcentral is "lncRNA (ENSCHIG00000002262.1)". Lineage: Eukaryota; Metazoa; Chordata; Mammalia; Artiodactyla; Bovidae. The record is from RNAcentral.